GACGAACGCUGGCGGUGUGCUUCACACAUGCAAGUCGAACGAGGUAGCAAUACCUAGUGGCGGACGGGUGAGUAACGCGUGGGAAUCUGCCCAUAGGUGGGGGAUAACUAGCCGAAAGGUUAGCUAAUACCGCAUAUGCCGAAAGGUAAAAGGAGUAAUCCGCCUUUGGAUGAGCCCGCGUCCGAUUAGCUAGUUGGUAGAGUAAAAAGCCUACCAAGGCGACGAUCGGUAGCUGGUCUGAGAGGAUGAUCAGCCACAAUGGGACUGAGACACGGCCCAUACUCCUACGGAGGCAGCAGUGGGGGAAUUUACGUCAAUGGGGGAAACCCGUACGACGUAGCGACACCGCGUGAAUAGAAGAAGACCCUUUCGGGUGGUAAAUUACUGUCGGCGUGGGAAGGAAAAAAAAAUAAA
Molecule: ribosomal RNA, 414 nt
Filed under: uncultured bacterium
Lineage: Bacteria
Description: partial 16S ribosomal RNA
Rfam family: Bacterial small subunit ribosomal RNA
Source: RNAcentral